RNAcentral lists this ribosomal RNA (472 nucleotides) under uncultured bacterium. RNAcentral's name for it is "bacterial SSU rRNA". It matches the Rfam family "Bacterial small subunit ribosomal RNA", at positions 329 to 793 of the family's 1533-position model. The record is from RNAcentral.
GCAGAGCAUCCUACGGGAGGCAGCAGUGGGGAAUAGUUGCACAAUGGGCGCAAGCCUGAUGCAGCCAUGCCGCGUGUAUGAAGAAGGCCUUCGGGUUGUAAAGUACUUUCAGCAGUGAGGAAGGUGGGUAUGUUAAUAGCAUACUCAUUUGACGUUAGCUGCAGAAGAAGCACCGGCUAACUCCGUGCCAGCAGCCGCGGUAAUACGGAGGGUGCGAGCGUUAAUCGGAAUUACUGGGCGUAAAGCGCAUGCAGGUGGUUUGUUAAGUCAGAUGUGAAAGCCCGGGGCUCAACCUCGGAAUUGCAUUUGAAACUGGCAAACUAGAGUACUGUAGAGGGGGUAGAAUUUCAGGUGUAGCGGUGAAAUGCGUAGAGAUCUGAAGGAAUACCGGUGGCGAAGGCGGCCCCCUGGACAGAUACUGACACUCAGAUGCGAAAGCGUGGGGAGCAAACAGGAUUAGAUACCCUGGUAG